UACGUAGGGGGCAAGCGUUAUCCGGAUUUACUGGGUGUAAAGGGAGCGCAGACGGAACUGCAAGUCUGAUGUGAAAGCCCGGGGCUCAACCGCGGGACUGCAUCGGAUACUGUGGAUCUGGAGUGCCGGAGGGGCAAGCGGAAUUCCUGGUGUAGCGGUGAAAUGCGUAGAUAUCAGGAGGAACACCGGCGGCGAAGGCGGCUUUCUGGACGAUAACUGACGCUGAGGCGCGAAAGCGUGGGUAGCAAACAGGAUUAGAUACCCCUGUA
RNAcentral lists this ribosomal RNA (269 nucleotides) under uncultured prokaryote. Its description in RNAcentral is "partial 16S ribosomal RNA". It matches the Rfam family "Bacterial small subunit ribosomal RNA", at positions 524 to 792 of the family's 1533-position model. The record is from RNAcentral.